Molecule: long non-coding RNA, 885 nt
Organism: Cyprinus carpio carpio
Lineage: Eukaryota; Metazoa; Chordata; Actinopteri; Cypriniformes; Cyprinidae
Source: Ensembl
AUGGGCUAUGGCCGGGAAGAGGUCAGGGAGCAAGGGGGCCACGGGGAUCCGGGGCGUGGGACUCGGGCCCCGGCCUGAGUCUUAGGUAUCCGUAGCGCCCUCCUUCUUCCUCCUCUUCGCUGAAUACAGCUCACGGUAAGUACUGGUUCACACAGUUCGUUCUCGGGGUGCUCACUCUCUUUCUCUUCCUCCACAGGCAACGGCUGGGACACACAGGCACAGUUAGUUCAGCUUGGUUUUGCUCUCACCUCUUCGCUGAUUACAGCUCACAGUAAGUACUGGUUCACACAGUUCGUUCCUUGGGUGCUCACUCGCUUUCUCUUUCUCCACAGGCAGCGGCGUAAGUACAGGUUUCCUCGGUCUCUCCUCGUGUUACCCACUCUCUCUCCUUUUCUCUCCACAGGUAUCAACUUGGGCACAAUAGCACAGUUAGUUCAGCUUGGUUUUGCUCUCACCUCUUCGCUGAUUACAGCUCACAGUAAGUACUGGGUUCGCUCUAUUCCUCCUCGUGUUAUUCACUCUCUCUCCUUUUCUCUCCACAGGUAUCAACUUGGGCACAAUAGCACAGUUACUCUGCUUUGGAUGGCUUUCACCUCUGGGCUGGACACAGCGUACUGUGCUAUCUCCGGAGAUCUGAAGCACGCUCACAACAUAUACUGUACUGAACUAGGCUAGGACCAGCAGUCUCCUUGUCCUCCCGCGACGAAGUGCGUGAAGGCGGGGGUUUAUCUGACAGGACACACGGCAAUACACAGCAGCCCACAGCAAUAUACAGCACCACGUCAAAAUUAUAGGUUUUCACAGCAUGAAGACUCACCCACCACACUCAGUGUACGAAAAGGACACCCGUCUUCCUUCACUUCGCUUGGUUCGGAUCUGGCGAUG